GGCUGAGACUCCCUAUUUAAACCCCGCAAGGCUGGUUCUCGUGGUCAGAUCGUGUUUCCUGUUCCUGUUUGGUUUCACUGCUGUUCAUCUGACUCCUGCUUUUGAUCUCCUGCUCGUCUACUGUUUUCGCCUGAUUGCUGCCCGUCCUGACUUCUGAUUCUGAUACUGACUACUCUUCUGGAUAUCCUUGUCUGUACUGCGUUCCAGGAAGCACUGGUUAUUUCAGCC
This is a non-coding RNA of Pelobates cultripes (western spadefoot toad), 228 nucleotides long. The record is from the annotation of a GenBank genome assembly. NCBI's taxonomy places the organism in Eukaryota, Metazoa, Chordata, Amphibia, Anura, Pelobatidae.